AUAAUAUUAAAUUAUAUUUAAAGAAAAACAUAGCGUUUGUACAACUAGUGCAUCGAAUAGUAGAAAAUUUUAGCAGAAAAUUAGAAACUUUUACACUUAGAUCCUUGUUUCAAACCAAACUUGUAAUCCGUUAUCAUAGCGUUUAUCGCCUAGAAGUCGGAUUGUGGAAAACGGUUUCGGAUUUGUUUGUUAAUCCACUCGAUGAUCCAAGAAACUGUGUGUGGAGCUUUCCCAUGUCGUCGCCUAUUUCUCCACCAUU
Molecule: small RNA, 259 nt
Filed under: Arabidopsis thaliana (thale cress)
Lineage: Eukaryota; Viridiplantae; Streptophyta; Magnoliopsida; Brassicales; Brassicaceae
Description: ATSL117830
Source: RNAcentral